UCCGCCAGGGUACUACGAGCGCUAGCUUAAAACCCAAAGGACUUGACGGUGUCUCAGACCCACCUAGAGGAGCCUGUUCUAGAACCGAUAAUCCCCGUUAAACCUCACCACCCCUUGCUUUUCCCGCCUAUAUACCGCCGUCGCAAGCUUACCCUAUGAAGGCACUACAGUAAGCAAAAAGAGUAUUACCCAAAACGUCAGGUCGAGGUGUAGCUUGUGAGGUGGAAAGAAAUGGGCUACAUUUUCUUUAACAGAAUACUACGGACAACACUAUGAAACUGGUGUUCAAAGGUGGAUUUAGCAGUAAAAA
RNAcentral lists this ribosomal RNA (310 nucleotides) under Megaleporinus obtusidens. RNAcentral describes it as "partial small subunit ribosomal RNA". It matches the Rfam family "Bacterial small subunit ribosomal RNA", at positions 868 to 1344 of the family's 1533-position model. Lineage: Eukaryota; Metazoa; Chordata; Actinopteri; Characiformes; Anostomidae. The record is from RNAcentral.